RNAcentral lists this ribosomal RNA (450 nucleotides) under uncultured bacterium. RNAcentral's name for it is "partial 16S ribosomal RNA". It matches the Rfam family "Bacterial small subunit ribosomal RNA", at positions 354 to 796 of the family's 1533-position model. The record is from RNAcentral.
GUGGGGAAUUUUGGACAAUGGGCGCAAGCCUGAUCCAGCCAUGCCGCGUGCAGGAUGAAGGCCUUCGGGUUGUAAACUGCUUUUGUACGGAACGAAAAGACUUCUUCUAAUACAGGAGGUCCAUGACGGUACCGUAAGAAUAAGCACCGGCUAACUACGUGCCAGCAGCCGCGGUAAUACGUAGGGUGCAAGCGUUAAUCGGAAUUACUGGGCGUAAAGCGUGCGCAGGCGGUUAUAUAAGACAGAUGUGAAAUCCCCGGGCUCAACCUGGGAACUGCAUUUGUGACUGUAUAGCUAGAGUACGGUAGAGGGGGAUGGAAUUCCGCGUGUAGCAGUGAAAUGCGUAGAUAUGCGGAGGAACACCGAUGGCGAAGGCAAUCCCCUGGGCCUGCACUGACGCUCAUGCACGAAAGCGUGGGGAGCAAACAGGAUUAGAAACCCGUGUAGUCC